GGGUUGUGAGGUUAAGCGACUAAGCGUACACGGUGGAUGCCCUGGCAGUCAGAGGCGAUGAAGGACGUGCUAAUCUGCGAUAAGCGUCGGUGAGGUGAUAUGAACCGUUAUAACCGGCGAUUUCCGAAUGGGGAAACCCAGUGUGUUUCGACACACUAUCAUUAACUGAAUCCAUAGGUUAAUGAGGCGAACCGGGGGAACUGAAACAUCUAAGUACCCCGAGGAAAAGAAAUCAACCGAGAUUCCCCCAGUAGCGGCGAGCGAACGGGGAGGAGCCCAGAGCCUGAAUCAGUGUGUGUGUUAGUGGAAGCGUCUGGAAAGGCGCGCGAUACAGGGUGACAGCCCCGUACACAAAAAUGCACAUAUUGUGAGCUCGAUGAGUAGGGCGGGACACGUGGUAUCCUGUCUGAAUAUGGGGGGACCAUCCUCCAAGGCUAAAUACUCCUGACUGACCGAUAGUGAACCAGUACCGUGAGGGAAAGGCGAAAAGAACCCCGGCGAGGGGAGUGAAAAAGAACCUGAAACCGUGUACGUACAAGCAGUGGGAGCCUCUUAAUGGGGUGACUGCGUACCUUUUGUAUAAUGGGUCAGCGACUUAUAUUCUGUAGCAAGGUUAACCGAAUAGGGGAGCCGAAGGGAAACCGAGUCUUAACUGGGCGUUAAGUUGCAGGGUAUAGACCCGAAACCCGGUGAUCUAGCCAUGGGCAGGUUGAAGGUUGGGUAACACUAACUGGAGGACCGAACCGACUAAUGUUGAAAAAUUAGCGGAUGACUUGUGGCUGGGGGUGAAAGGCCAAUCAAACCGGGAGAUAGCUGGUUCUCCCCGAAAGCUAUUUAGGUAGCGCCUCGUGAAUUCAUCUCCGGGGGUAGAGCACUGUUUCGGCAAGGGGGUCAUCCCGACUUACCAACCCGAUGCAAACUGCGAAUACCGGAGAAUGUUAUCACGGGAGACACACGGCGGGUGCUAACGUCCGUCGUGAAGAGGGAAACAACCCAGACCGCCAGCUAAGGUCCCAAAGUCAUGGUUAAGUGGGAAACGAUGUGGGAAGGCCCAGACAGCCAGGAUGUUGGCUUAGAAGCAGCCAUCAUUUAAAGAAAGCGUAAUAGCUCACUGGUCGAGUCGGCCUGCGCGGAAGAUGUAACGGGGCUAAACCAUGCACCGAAGCUGCGGCAGCGACGCUUAUGCGUUGUUGGGUAGGGGAGCGUUCUGUAAGCCUGUGAAGGUGUGCUGUGAGGCAUGCUGGAGGUAUCAGAAGUGCGAAUGCUGACAUA
Molecule: ribosomal RNA, 1272 nt
Filed under: Escherichia coli
Lineage: Bacteria; Pseudomonadati; Pseudomonadota; Gammaproteobacteria; Enterobacterales; Enterobacteriaceae
Description: partial 23S ribosomal RNA
Rfam family: Bacterial large subunit ribosomal RNA
Source: RNAcentral